UCCAAAUUAAAUUGAAAAGGAGCUCUAAAUCGAAUAGAAAAGCAGCAAGAUUUUUUACAGCACACAUCACAUCAUAGGAAACACAAACAUACUAUGUACAAGAUUAAAAUUUUCUUUAUUUACUAUAUAUACAAAUAAAUUAUGGGAAACACAAACAUAGCCUGAGCACCGCUGCAGGGCGGUUCCAUGGAGCCGCGCGUGCGGCUGAUAGGGACAUGGGCCACGCGGUAGUGCCAGGGUGCUUGGGGUCGCCGCUCGCGAAUGCCUGGACGCCUGAGCGCCACUGCAGUCCGGCUCGACGAAGCCGCGCACGGCCAACGCUUCAUGUGAGCUCUGCCGAGCAGCCUGGUGGCGGCGCAGGUCAGCUAGCAGCGCUCGCUCCCGCUGGCGGUGCCCUCAACUUGGCUCUUUGCCCAUGUAUGCUUUGCUUUGUCAGCUACGCGGCUUGAGAAAGAAGGAGUAAGAGAAAGUGAAGCUAG
Molecule: long non-coding RNA, 479 nt
Filed under: Sorghum bicolor (sorghum)
Lineage: Eukaryota; Viridiplantae; Streptophyta; Magnoliopsida; Poales; Poaceae
Description: long non-coding RNA (SBIC_LNC009454)
Source: RNAcentral